CCUACUCUUGACAUCCAGAGAACUUUCCAGAGAUGGAUUGGUGCCUUCGGGAACUCUGAGACAGGUGCUGCAUGGCUGUCGUCAGCUCGUGUUGUGAAAUGUUGGGUUAAGUCCCGCAACGAGCGCAACCCUUAUCCUUUGUUGCCAGCGGUCCGGCCGGGAACUCAAAGGAGACUGCCAGUGAUAAACUGGAGGAAGGUGGGGAUGACGUCAAGUCAUCAUGGCCCUUACGAGUAGGGCUACACACGUGCUACAAUGGCUCAUACAAAGAGAAGCGACCUCGCGAGAGCAAGCGGACCUCAUCUCCCUUUCUAGUCCGGAUUGGAGUCUGCAACUCGACUCCAUGAAGUCGGAAUCGCUAGUAAUCGUAGAUCAGAA
Molecule: ribosomal RNA, 378 nt
Filed under: Enterobacter sp. FER56
Lineage: Bacteria; Pseudomonadati; Pseudomonadota; Gammaproteobacteria; Enterobacterales; Enterobacteriaceae
Description: bacterial SSU rRNA
Rfam family: Bacterial small subunit ribosomal RNA
Source: RNAcentral